CUUCAACACUUGAUAGCCGUGUGUCGACACGCCAUUUUGUGUUUUGUUAAAGCGUACGCUGGCCGGUAGUCAUUUGUGCUUUACUUAAAAAGAAUAUCUUGCGUUAUUUCUGCUUGUGGUAGAUUGUUUUAUUUCUUCAGUUAUCCGUGGAAAGAAUAAGGAAUGGAUGACAGCAGAGAAAAAGAACGGGACAGGUCGAGGCGCGGUGACAGACCCUCUAGAUUCUCUGAUGCAAUUCGGGAUAGAUCCGGAGACCGGAAUCAUCACUCUGAAGGAAAAAGAUUAUUUGUUUCUAACAUACCAUACGAGUUCCGAUGGACAGAGUUAAAAGAUUUGUUCAAAGACAAGGUUGGAGAUGUUGCUUAUGUAGAAUUAUAUCAUGACGACAAUGGAAAGCCAAAAGGUUGUGGUGUUGUUGAAUUUACUACUACAGAAGCCAUGAAAAAAGCAUUAUUUAUUAUGCAUAGAUAUGAAUUAAAUGGGAGGAAACUUGUUUUAAAAGAAGAAACUGGGAAUGAACGAAGCCGCUCUAAUAAUCCAAGAUCAGGUGGUAGCAGUGGUGGAGGUGGCAGGAAUAAUCGUGAAGACAAAGAAGGAUGGAACAUGAAUAAACCACGACAACCAGAAAAUUUCAACACAUAUGGCUUAAGUCUUCAAUUCUUGGAGUCUAUUAAUGUCCAGCCUCCAUUGAUGAAGAAAGUUUUCGUAGCAAAUCUUGACUACAAAGCAGAUAGACCAAAAAUCAAGGAGAUUUUCAAAAUGGCUGGAAAAGUUCGUAAUAUUGACUUGGCAGUUGAUAAAGAUGGCAAUAGCAGAGGCUUUGCUGUCAUUGAAUAUGAUCAUCCUGUUGAAGCUGUUCAGGCUAUUUCAAUGUUUGACAAGCAAAUGUUGUAUGAUCGAAGAAUGACAGUCCGUAUGGACAGGGGUUCAGAUAAAGUAGAAGUGAGACUGCCUGAAGGUUUAAAGAAUAUUGGUCUAGGACUUGGACCUAACGGUGAACCUUUAAGAGAUGUUGCAAGGAAUCUCCCACAGCCAACACCAACAAAUAAUUUAACAAAUCUAACAAGUGCAGGAACAAGUUUAGGGGCAAGUGUGUUGGGGGGUGUUCCAGCUGCCACUGUUGCCUUGAAUGGUUUGGGGCAAAGCCUCAAUGCAAAUACUUUGGGAAAUAACUCGGGUCUUGGUGGGGGUUUAAGCUUACAGGCUCUCGGCUUAACAGGUCUAGGAGCACUACAAAACCAGUUACUGCAACAAGGUAUUACAGCAAAUGACCUAGUUAGCUCAGUGUUAACACAAGCACAGGCGAACGUUGGCUCAAACAAUUUGGGAAUGGGUGGACCAGAUCUCUCUGCAAAUGUUAUGGCCAACAAUCCAAUGUCAAAUAAUGUGCUUGGCCCAAAUAAUAACCUUGGCAGCGGUCCUCAUUCAGGAACCAAUAGGCAGAUGCAACAUAGUAAUGUUUCAAGUGGCCAGGGUUAUGGUAGAGAGAAUCCUAUACAAACAUCUACUCGAGACAAGCAAUCUGACAUGGUCAUCAUCAGCAAUCUUCCACCAACAGUAACUUGGCAGCUAAUUCGUGAGAAGUUCAGUGAAUGUGGAGAAGUGAAGUUCGCCGAAAUGACGUCAUCAGAUACAGCGAUUGUACGAUUCCAUAAAGAGUGGGAUGCCGAGAGAGCAGUCAAAAUGUUUGACAGAACCAGAAUUGACGGAAGGACUAUUGACGUGAGGUUCUUCUAAUUGCUGUAUAACAAGGGUUGUCAUAUCGAAGUUGGUCUAUCGGAAAACAUCUUUCUUCGUCUUUGUCUGCUUGCCGCAGCUGAAGUUUUGACCUUUGGUCCAAUUGACAUUGAUUCUUGAAUUAAUUGUAUUUAAGUUUAGAGUAAGACUAGACCUUGAUUGUUUUUUUUCAUUUAAAUUUUUGUAAAACUAAUUUUCUGCAAAGUGGAUAUUUCAUUUCGUUCAUAUUCCUUUGUCGAUUGUCGUUAACACUUAGGGGAGUUGACCUUCUCAGAUACUAAUUUUAUUGACAAUGUUUUAAGAAAACGCUCAGGCAUACUGUAGUUUUAUACGGAUAGGUUGCACGGAAGGAAAUCGGCAAUGUCAUUCCGAAGUUUGACAUUUGGUAGAGACUGCAUAUUGGUUUGGUGAAUUGUCAGUGUCGUCGAUUGAUUCUGGUCAUGUGGUCUAAUCAUUUGGUAUUCGGGACUAUACCCAAUGCUGGAUAAAUUAGUAGCAAUAUUGUAAAAUAUUUAAGAAAAUUAGUAGUUUAAUUAUAACCUCUAUUAAAAGUGAAAACUUUGUUAAAUGUUGUCUAAGCAUUAUUAUUGUGAAAAUUGUUUCUUCGUCGCAACACAACCGAUUUACGUGGUAUUUCCAUGGAGAUAUCUGGUAGCAAAUUAUAUAGGAAUGUGUAGCAGCGUAAUCGUAAAGACACCUAAUUUCUUCCAGCAUUGAAAUAUGUAAUAUAAUGGUUUUAAUUUAAACAGAGUUUCCUACAAUUGAGACAUCUACACAUUUUUAUUGUAGCAAAAAUCGAACUUCAACCCGUUUUCCUGUCCGUGUAAAUUGCGAACGGUUCUCGCGCUUAUGAAUAAAUCAAUUUGAAUAAUUCUAGAAUAAAAUAUGAUAUUGCUGUCAAAUAUCUUUGAUAUGUAGUCAAUAAACGGAUGCUUUUAAAUGUUGGAUUAUUUUAUUAAAGUUGUUACAGCUCUGCCAUCGUAUUGUAUUGCUAUAACAAAUACUUCUAAACAGCGUUUUGAGUGAAUUUUUCUUUGAUAAUGUACAACAAGGCAGCGGAAGCAAGGACGAGUGAAACAGAAUGGAAUAGAAUGGAUCGAGGGUCGGAAUAUUGCAUGUUUUCGGAGAUUUUACCCUUUUAUGUAAGAAGUUUGAGCAUUGCAUUUGAGCUUGGGAUUGACUAUCGUAAUUAAGGUAUCUAACAGAUUGUGUACAGCGAAAAUGAAGAUGGAAAUGUUGCUUACGAGUGUCGAGUUGUGAUCUUUAGAUAAUAGAAUAUAUAUCAAUGGCAUCCUUGGUAUAUCCUAGAUAUUAAUUACAUCAACAACGCCUUGUUUUAGAAAGGCUUCGAACACUUCAGUUGUUCGUUUGACAUAAUUUUUUUAUCAUUUAAGAAUACAUGCAGAUUUUAUAAAUUGUUUCAACAUGUAAUAUGUUGAGGUGAGAAGACUCUUGUUAAAUCGUCAUCAGAGCCUUUAUUCGUUAUAAUGGAUAAGGUGUGAAAUAACAAAACUUGUAAGGGGCCCUAAGCAAGUCCUACCCUUUGUCAUAAGUUGUUUGAAGAAAAACGACUUGAAAAAAAAACAUGAUUCCAUCCUUGACUUCGGAAGUACUAGUCUUGAAAUCAUUUUAGAUGGAUUACAGGAAAGAAUCCGAGCAAAGGAAGUAAAAAAAACGGGAAUGUACCAAACACUCAGAAGCACGAAGGCUGAAGGACCGCAAGGAGAUAUUGAAGAGUGAAAACAAGAAUGGUUAUUAAUUUUGAAAUAAAUGACAUUUCAAAUUUU
This is an RNA transcript of Pieris brassicae (large cabbage white), 3524 nucleotides long. It is a transcript of the gene named myelin expression factor 2, with no coding region annotated. Lineage: Eukaryota; Metazoa; Arthropoda; Insecta; Lepidoptera; Pieridae. The transcript has 14 exons. The record is from RefSeq and is a predicted model, not a curated record.